CUAGAGCUAAUACAUGCAAACAGAGCUCCGACCGGAGACGGAAGGAGUGCUUUUAUUAGAACAAAACCAAUCGGUGGCGGGUUCGCUCGUCAUCGUGCAAUCUGGUGAUUCUGAAUAACUUUAGGCUGAUCGCACGGUCAUCGCACCGGCGACGCAUCUUUCAAAUGUCUGCCUUAUCAACUGUCGAUGGUAGGUUCUGCGCCUACCAUGGUUGUAACGGGUAACGGGGAAUCAGGGUUCGAUUCCGGAGAGGGAGCCUGAGAAACGGCUACCACAUCCAAGGAAGGCAGCAGGCGCGCAAAUUACCCACUCCCGGCACGGGGAGGUAGUGACGAAAAAUAACGAUACGGGACUCAUCCGAGGCCCCGUAAUCGGAAUGAGUACACUCUAAACCCUUUAACGAGGAUCAAUUGGAGGGCAAGUCUGGUGCCAGCAGCCGCGG
RNAcentral lists this ribosomal RNA (442 nucleotides) under Trigonopterus hirsutus. RNAcentral's name for it is "SSU rRNA". It matches the Rfam family "Eukaryotic small subunit ribosomal RNA", at positions 158 to 579 of the family's 1831-position model. The record is from RNAcentral. Lineage: Eukaryota; Metazoa; Arthropoda; Insecta; Coleoptera; Curculionidae.